GCGGGUAUAACUCAGUUGGUUAGAGUAUCAGAUUGUGGCUUUGAAAGACGGGGGUUCGAGUCCCCUUAUUCGCC
This 74-nucleotide transfer RNA is filed under the name Myagropsis myagroides. Its description in RNAcentral is "tRNA-His". It matches the Rfam family "tRNA". From Rfam's summary of the family: Transfer RNA (tRNA) molecules are approximately 80 nucleotides in length. Their secondary structure includes four short double-helical elements and three loops (D, anti-codon, and T loops). The record is from RNAcentral. Lineage: Eukaryota; Phaeophyceae; Fucales; Sargassaceae.